RNAcentral lists this long non-coding RNA (1185 nucleotides) under Vitis vinifera (wine grape). RNAcentral describes it as "long non-coding RNA (VVIN_LNC004327)". The record is from RNAcentral. Lineage: Eukaryota; Viridiplantae; Streptophyta; Magnoliopsida; Vitales; Vitaceae.
GUCAUAAGCUGCCCCAGGUUGUGGCUCCUACUCCCACACAAAGGGGAUUUAUGCCAGUUAAUUCAGGGGUUGUUCAAAGACCUGGGAUGGGUCCGAUGCAACCUCCAAGUCCUACUCAACAGGCACCAGUUCAGCCAGCUAUUACACCUGCAGCUCCACCACCAACAAUACAGACAGUUGAUACUUCAAAUGUACCUGGUAAUCUAAUUUUUUUUUUCUUUCUCUAUCAGUAAGAUUUUGCAUUAAACAGGGUGCUUAUGUAUGUAUGUAUGUGUGUGUGUGUGUGUGUGUGUGUAUGCAUGUAUGAUAGGAAUAUAAGAGAAAUUAUGGACCCCACAAUUUUUGUUCAAAGCACUUGCAUUAUAUACAGAAAGUGUUGUAACUUUCAUGUAUUCUAAGUUUUCACUUCAAAUCACCCCAACUUUUGGGUGAUAGCUUUGGUGAGUUGAUUACAAAUUUUUUUUCUUCCUUUUUCCCCUUUAAUGGACAAGCCAAACAAGGGUAAAUAUUUUAAAUUUUUUCUCUUUCUUAUGCUUCUCUCAUUGUGGAUAAGGAGUAUAAAAUAGUGUUGAUGCAAAUAUUUAAUAUGUGCUGUCCAGUAAGAUGUCCUCAAAUACAGCAAAGAUGGUGGUCAAGGUGGUGUCUAGCAUCCACUUUUGCAUUAUACAGCCUGAAAUUCCAAGUAGGACCUUAUUUAGUUCAAAAUUCAUUACAUACCCAAAAUGAAGCUUUGAAGCACGUCAAGAUUUUCCAUGUAUGUACCUAUAGAAGCAUUUAACAUCUUGAUGGGAGUUACUGCUGGGGAGGAAAUUUAUUCACAACAAAAUAUUACCAAGUUACUAUAUUUUUUAUACUUUUAUUAAAUGGGCAAUAUUUGUAUUAUUGUUAUCAUCUAGUUACUUGCAUUCUUGAAAAUUGACCUUGCUCCUCUUCUAUUUCUCCAGCCCAGCAAAGGCCAGUAGUUGCAACAUUGACAAGACUGUUCAAUGAAACGUCAGAGGCCCUGGGAGGUUCACGUGCAAACCCAGCCAAGAAGCGGGAAAUAGAAGAUAAUUCAAGGAAAAUUGGUGCCUUGCUUGCAAAACUUAACAGUGGAGACAUAUCUAAAAAUGCUGCUGAUAAGCUUGUUCAGCUCUGCCAGGCUUUAGACAAUGGUGAUUUCGGCACUGCCUUACAAAUUCAGGU